This 540-nucleotide ribosomal RNA is filed under the name Triticum aestivum (bread wheat). RNAcentral's name for it is "partial small subunit ribosomal RNA". The record is from RNAcentral. Lineage: Eukaryota; Viridiplantae; Streptophyta; Magnoliopsida; Poales; Poaceae.
AUGUCAUAUAGGAACAACAACCCUGAGAUCUCAUCGUUUGUCUCUAGUUAUCCAAUGCAGGGAUUUAGGUAUGAAGAGGAGAGCCACAACUAUGGUCCACAACAGUCUUAUUCAGCUCCUAUUCAUAUACCUCAGCACCAGGAGAUGUUGCCAAUGGAGUUAAAUGGUCCUCCAUUUGGUCAACCAACACCUUCAACACAAGUGCCCACACAAGAUGAUUUUGAUGAUAUAGACAAGCUCACAUUGCUUAGUCUUGAUUUCACUUGGAGUGCCGAAGAUGAUCCAAUUAGGCUGGUGAUACUAGAGGAAAUGAAGAAGAUCAAGAGUGGAAAAGAGAUAGUGGAAGAAGUAAGGAAGAUUCAGAAGAACAUCAGCGCUGGCAACACUAUUUCUUCACAGAUAGAGCUGAGUAUUUCUAGGAUAUCCUUUGAUACAUGUGAGGUCCCAACACCUUCACAUUCAGCUGAGCAAGAUAACGAGAGUCCAGAGGAAGAUACUUCAGAUCCAAGAAGAAAUUCUCGAAGCCAAGGCACAAGAUGA